GUAGGGGGCGAGCGUUGUCCGGAAUUAUUGGGCGUAAAGCGCGCGUAGGCGGCUGGUUAAGUCCUGUGUGAAAGACCACGGCUCAACCGUGGGGGUGCACGGGAAACUGGCCGGCUUGAGUGCAGGAGAGGGGAGCGGAAUUCCCGGUGUAGCGGUGGAAUGCGUAGAGAUCGGGAGGAACACCAGUGGCGAAGGCGGCUCCCUGGCCUGUAACUGACGCUGAGGCGCGAAAGCGUGGGGAGCGAACAGGAUUAGAUACCCUGGUAGUCCACGCCGUAAACGAUGAGUGCUAGGUGUUGGGGCGGUCAGGCCCUCUGUGCCGAAGGUAACCCAAUAAGCACUCCGCCUGGGGAGUACGGCCGCAAGGCUG
RNAcentral lists this ribosomal RNA (370 nucleotides) under uncultured bacterium. RNAcentral's name for it is "bacterial SSU rRNA". It matches the Rfam family "Bacterial small subunit ribosomal RNA", at positions 527 to 896 of the family's 1533-position model. The record is from RNAcentral.